CACCAGACUCCUACGGGAGGCAGCAGUGGGGAAUAUUGCACAAUGGGGGAAACCCUGAUGCAGCGACGCCGCGUGAGUGAAGAAGUAUUUCGGUAUGUAAAGCUCUAUCAGCAGGGAAGAAAAUGACGGUACCUGAUUAAGAAGCCCCGGCUAACUACGUGCCAGCAGUCGCGGUAAUACGUAGGGGGCAAGCGUUAUCCGGAUUUACUGGGUGUAAAGGGAGCGUAGACGGCAGCGCAAGUCUGAAGUGAAAUGCCGGGGCUUAACCCCGGAACUGCUUUGGAAACUAUGCGGCUGGAGUGCAGGAGGGGUAAGCGGAAUUCCUAGUGUAGCGGUGAAAUGCGUAGAUAUUAGGAGGAACACCGGUGGCGAAGGCGGCUUACUGGACUGUAACUGACGUUGAGGCUCGAAAGCGUGGGGAGCAAACAGGAUUAGAUACCCGAGUAC
RNAcentral lists this ribosomal RNA (447 nucleotides) under uncultured bacterium. RNAcentral describes it as "bacterial SSU rRNA". It matches the Rfam family "Bacterial small subunit ribosomal RNA", at positions 329 to 793 of the family's 1533-position model. The record is from RNAcentral.